RNAcentral lists this ribosomal RNA (449 nucleotides) under Chilo partellus. RNAcentral's name for it is "partial 16S ribosomal RNA". Lineage: Eukaryota; Metazoa; Arthropoda; Insecta; Lepidoptera; Crambidae. The record is from RNAcentral.
UGACUGUACAAAGGUAGCAUAAUCAAUAGUCUCUUAAUUGGUGACUUGAAUGAAAGAUUGGAUGAAAUAUAUACUGUCUCUUUAAUAAUAAUAGAAUUUAAUUUUUUAAUUAAAAAGUUAAAAUAAAUUUAAAAGACGAGAAGACCCCAUAGAGUUUUAUAUAUUUGUUAAUUAAUAUUAUUUAUAAAUUAAUAAAAUUAAAAUUAAUUUGAUAUAUUAUAUUGGGGUGAUAAAAAAAUUUAUUUAACUUUUUUUUUUAAAUUAACAUAAAUAAGUGACUAAUAAUGAUCUAAAAUUUUUAAUUAUAAGAUAAAAUUACCUUGGGGAUAACAGCGUAAUUUUUUUUUUUAGUUCGAAUAAAAAAAAAAGUUUGCGACCUCGAUGUUGGAUUAAGAUAAAAUUUAAAUGCAAAAGUUUAAAAUUUUGAUCUGUUCGAUCAUUAAAAUCUU